This 468-nucleotide ribosomal RNA is filed under the name uncultured bacterium. RNAcentral's name for it is "bacterial SSU rRNA". It matches the Rfam family "Bacterial small subunit ribosomal RNA", at positions 8 to 521 of the family's 1533-position model. The record is from RNAcentral.
AGAGUUUGAUCAUGGCUCAGAACGUACGCUGGCGGCACGCCUAACACAUGCAAGUCGAACGAAGUAGCAAUACUUAGUGGCAGACGGGUGAGUAACAUGUGGGUAUCUACCCUUUGGCCUGGAAUAACACGAGGAAACUUGUGCUAAUACCGGAUAAGUCUUUACGGAGAAAGCUUUAUGCACCAUUGGAUGAGCCUGCACUUGAUUAGUUUGUUGGUGGGGUAAUGGCCUACCAAGACUUUGAUCAAUAGCUGAUUUGAGAGGAUGAUCAGCCACAUUGGGACUGAGACACGGCCCAAACUCCUACGGGAGGCAGCAGUGGGGAAUCUUGCACAAUGGAGGAAACUCUGAUGCAGCGAUGCCGCGUGAGUGAAGAAGGCCCUUGGGUUGUAAAGCUCUUUCGUCGGGGAAGAAAAUGACUGUACCCGAAUAAGAAGGUCCGGAUAACUUCGUGCCAGCAGCCGCGGU